UCUGGCCUGAUUACUGCCCACAUGCCA
This 27-nucleotide non-coding RNA is filed under the name Homo sapiens (human). The record is from RNAcentral. Lineage: Eukaryota; Metazoa; Chordata; Mammalia; Primates; Hominidae.